UACGAAGGGGGCUAGCGUUGCUCGGAAUUACUGGGCGUAAAGGGCGCGUAGGCGGAUAGUUUAGUCAGAGGUAAAAGCCCAGGGCUCAACCUUGGAACUGCCUUUGAUACUGGCUAUCUUGAGUUCGGGAGAGGUGAGUGGAACUGCGAGUGUAGAGGUGAAAUUCGUAGAUAUUCGCAAGAACACCAGUGGCGAAGGCGGCUCACUGGCCCGAUACUGACGCUGAGGUGCGAAAGCGUGGGGAGCAAACAGG
Molecule: ribosomal RNA, 253 nt
Filed under: uncultured bacterium
Lineage: Bacteria
Description: partial 16S ribosomal RNA
Rfam family: Bacterial small subunit ribosomal RNA
Source: RNAcentral